This 226-nucleotide ribosomal RNA is filed under the name uncultured bacterium. RNAcentral's name for it is "partial 16S ribosomal RNA". It matches the Rfam family "Bacterial small subunit ribosomal RNA", at positions 15 to 231 of the family's 1533-position model. The record is from RNAcentral.
GAUAUGGCUCAGGAUGAACGCUAGCUACAGGCUUAACACAUGCAAGUCGAGGGGCAGCAUGGUCUUAGCUUGCUAAGGCUGAUGGCGACCGGCGCACGGGUGAGUAACACGUAUCCAACCUGCCGUCUACUCUUGGCCAGCCUUCUGAAAGGAAGAUUAAUCCAGGAUGGCAUCAUGAGUUCACAUGUCCGCAUGAUUAAAGGUAUUUUCCGGUAGACGAUGGGGA